AGGAAAAGAAACCAACAGGGAUUGCCUCAGUAACGGCGAGUGAAGCGGCAACAGCUCAAAUUUGAAACCUGGCGCAAGCCCGGAUUGUAAUUUGUAGAGGAUGCUUCUGGGCAGCGGCCGGCCUAAGUUCCUUGGAACAGGACGUCAUAGAGGGUGAGAAUCCCGUAUGUGGCCGGCGCGCACCCUCCACGUAGCUCCUUCGACGAGUCGAGUUGUUUGGGAAUGCAGCUCUAAAUGGGAGGUAAAUUUCUUCUAAAGCUAAAUAUUGGCCAGAGACCGAUAGCGCACAAGUAGAGUGAUCGAAAGAUGAAAAGCACUUUGGAAAGAGAGUUAAAAAGCACGUGAAAUUGUUGAAAGGGAAGCGCUUCCCACCAGACUCCGCGGCGGUGUUCCGCCGGCCUUCUGGCCGGUCCACUCGCCGCCGUGGGGCCAACAUCGUCUGGUGCCGCCGGAUAAGACCGGAGGAAUGUAGCUCAUUGAGUGUUAUAGCCUCCGGGGAUGCGGCGCGCGCCGGGCGAGGUCCGCGCUUCGGCAAGGAUGUUGGCGUAAUGGUGGGCAGCGGCCCGUCUUGAAACACGGACCAAGGAGUCUAACAUCUAUGCGAGUGUUCGGGUGUCAAACCCCUACGCGGAAUGAAAGUGAACGGAGGUGGGAACCGCAAGGUGCACCAUCGACCGAUCCUGAUGUCCUCGGAUGGAUUUGAGUAAGAGCAUAGCUGUUGGGACCCGAAAGAUGGUGAACUAUGCCUGAAUAGGGUGAAGCCAGAGGAAACUCUGGUGGAGGCUCGCAGCGGUUCUGACGUGCAAAUCGAUCGUCAAAUUUGGGUAUAGGGGCGAAAGACUAAUCG
This 847-nucleotide ribosomal RNA is filed under the name Zasmidium musae-banksii. RNAcentral describes it as "eukaryotic LSU rRNA". It matches the Rfam family "Eukaryotic large subunit ribosomal RNA", at positions 54 to 937 of the family's 3401-position model. Lineage: Eukaryota; Fungi; Ascomycota; Dothideomycetes; Mycosphaerellales; Mycosphaerellaceae. The record is from RNAcentral.